Podarcis lilfordi (Lilford's wall lizard) is the source of this 72-nucleotide non-coding RNA. Lineage: Eukaryota; Metazoa; Chordata; Lepidosauria; Squamata; Lacertidae. The record is from the annotation of a GenBank genome assembly.
AGGUUGAUUGCUCAGUGGCAGAACAUCUGCCUUGCAAGCAGAAGGUCCUAGGUGAAAUCCCCAGUAUGUCUA